UGGUGAACGAGCGUUGGCAGGAACACCAGGUGAAAAAUUCAAGAAAAAUGUCUGAAAAAAGAAAACGAAUACAGCCACCACAUCUAAAGACUGGUGACAUUUCCAAGGCUGUGAAAACAUGUCGGAUACAGGUGAAGGUUUGAUGGUCGGAGGUGAAUGAGCGUUGUGGGGGCUCGUCCGGGAAGCUCAGAGAGCAGUUCAAAAAUUCUGGAAACAAAAAAAAUGAAUUGCAGACAUUGGAAGGGGAGAUUCACAAAAAGAUAAAAGACAACGGUCACCUGCCAAUCGAUGGGUACAAAAUGCAGAAAUGAAACGGCAUUCUGGGAAAAAAGCCAAUACCACAGAUGGCCCCUAGGGGGAGUGUAAAAAAGAAAGAUGGCGCUCGUGUUCCUAUUGUGGGCGGAGCAGACGUUGGGAAAGAACCGGUGAGAAUUUACGAUCUUGCUUUUAGAAGGAAGAAUAAUGAAUAUAAAUCCCUUCAGCACCAGUGGGGUUAAAGGGACAGGUGUCCGCACGGCGCUUAUUCCGAUCCCGCCACAUGUGUACGCCUUACACGUCUCCUCCUCGUAAAGUGACGGGCAGCGAUCGCGCACACACACAAUUUCCCCUCCUGCAUUCCAGAUCCUCUACGCCGGACACCUGCCUUGCUUUUCACUGUUUGUUUUCACACUGCGAGGUGCUGGUGCCAGCUGAGCUCAUAUAUGUCAAUAUUAGGACCCGGGGGCCUGGCGGGAGAUGUCACACUUCCACCGCUUAACCCCUCCGGCUCCUCCGCACUCCUUCUCAAGUCUCAGACCUGUAAUGAUGGGGAUGUGCAGCCCAGAUUAGUCCUAUUUACUUAGUGCGGCUUAUGCUUUUAUUUUUAUUAUGACUUUUAUUGUGCUCUUGUCUGCUUUGGGAUUUUAAGCUGCUAAAUAUUUAUACCACAACCCUUUUAGCAUUUGA
Molecule: long non-coding RNA, 945 nt
Organism: Rana temporaria (common frog)
Lineage: Eukaryota; Metazoa; Chordata; Amphibia; Anura; Ranidae
Exons: 4
Source: RefSeq, a predicted model, not a curated record